This 73-nucleotide transfer RNA is filed under the name Camelus bactrianus (Bactrian camel). It matches the Rfam family "tRNA". From Rfam's summary of the family: Transfer RNA (tRNA) molecules are approximately 80 nucleotides in length. Their secondary structure includes four short double-helical elements and three loops (D, anti-codon, and T loops). Further hydrogen bonds mediate the characteristic L-shaped molecular structure. tRNAs have two regions of fundamental functional importance: the anti-codon, which is responsible for specific mRNA codon recognition, and the 3' end, to which the tRNAs corresponding amino acid is attached (by aminoacyl-tRNA synthetases). tRNAs cope with the degeneracy of the genetic code in two manners: having more than one tRNA (with a specific anti-codon) for a particular amino acid; and 'wobble' base-pairing, i.e. permitting non-standard base-pairing at the 3rd anti-codon position. The record is from Rfam by way of RNAcentral. RNAcentral also lists the same sequence under 2 other names. Lineage: Eukaryota; Metazoa; Chordata; Mammalia; Artiodactyla; Camelidae.
GAGGGUGUAGCUCAAGUGGUAGAGCACAUGAUUAGCACGCAUGAGGUCCUGGGUUCAACCCCCAGUGCCUCUU